CGAAAGAUGGUUUUCUUCGGACACUCUUCAAGGUGCUGCAUGGUUGUCGUCAGCUCGUGCCGUGAGGUGUCGGGUUAAGUCCCAUAACGAGCGCUAACCCUUACCGUUAGUUACCAUCAGGUUAAGCGUGGGGACUCUAGCGGGACUGCCACCGUAAGGUGAGGAGGAAGGUGGGGAUGACGUCAAAUCAGCACGGCCCUUAUGUCCAGGGCUACACACGUGUUACAAGUGGACCGGUACAAAGGGCAGCUACUUCGCGAGAAGAUGCUAAUCUACGAAAGCCGGUCUCAGUUCGGAUCGAAGUCUGCAACCCGACUUCGUGAAGCUGGAUUCGCUAGUAAUCGCGCAUCCAGCCAUGGCGCGGUGAAUACGUUCCCGGGCCUU
This 384-nucleotide ribosomal RNA is filed under the name uncultured Sphingobacteriales bacterium. RNAcentral describes it as "bacterial SSU rRNA". It matches the Rfam family "Bacterial small subunit ribosomal RNA", at positions 1002 to 1382 of the family's 1533-position model. The record is from RNAcentral. Lineage: Bacteria; Pseudomonadati; Bacteroidota; Sphingobacteriia; Sphingobacteriales.